UACAGAGGUGGCAAGCGUUGUCCGGAAUUACUGGGCGUAAAGGGCGCGUAGGCGGUUCGUUAAGUCCUGUGUGAAAUCCCCCGGCUCAACUGGGGAACUGCACAGGAAACUAGCGGGCUUGAGUUCGGGAGAGGGAAGCGGAAUUCCGGGUGUAGCGGUGAAAUGCGUAGAUAUCCGGAGGAACACCGGUGGCGAAGGCGGCUUCCUGGACCGACACUGACGCUGAGGCGCGAAAGCUAGGGGAGCAAACGGG
Molecule: ribosomal RNA, 253 nt
Filed under: uncultured bacterium
Lineage: Bacteria
Description: partial 16S ribosomal RNA
Rfam family: Bacterial small subunit ribosomal RNA
Source: RNAcentral